Molecule: unclassified non-coding RNA, 283 nt
Filed under: Hevea brasiliensis (rubber tree)
Lineage: Eukaryota; Viridiplantae; Streptophyta; Magnoliopsida; Malpighiales; Euphorbiaceae
Source: RNAcentral
CUGUAAAGAUCACCAGUUUCUAGAUUUUCACAUCCAAAAACAGCUCGCUGGGGUGCCAACUCACUUUGGUUCCCAAAGGACACAAUGUCCUCUCCAAGCACUCCACUACUAGAGCUCAUCUCAGCAUAUUGCCUUUCAUAAAUACAUUGCUCUCUCUCAUUGUCGCAAGUACAAUCAACAUUGCACUUCACAGGUUGAUAGGUACUUGACAUUUCUGGCUGAAACUUAGGAUCCUGAUGGUUGCCACACUGUUCACAAGUAGAGCAAGGAACAUAGGUAACAG